RNAcentral lists this transfer RNA (70 nucleotides) under Marmota monax (woodchuck). RNAcentral's name for it is "tRNA.Ala". The stretch from base 5 to 66 matches the Rfam family "tRNA", at positions 5 to 66 of the family's 71-position model. Rfam says of the family: Transfer RNA (tRNA) molecules are approximately 80 nucleotides in length. Their secondary structure includes four short double-helical elements and three loops (D, anti-codon, and T loops). Lineage: Eukaryota; Metazoa; Chordata; Mammalia; Rodentia; Sciuridae. The record is from RNAcentral.
GGGAUUGUAGCUCAGGGUAGAUCACAUGCCUAGCAUGCAUGAAACACUGGGUUCAACCCCCAGCAACACA